Molecule: ribosomal RNA, 497 nt
Filed under: uncultured bacterium
Lineage: Bacteria
Description: partial 16S ribosomal RNA
Rfam family: Bacterial small subunit ribosomal RNA
Source: RNAcentral
GAUGAACGCUGGCGGCGUGCCUAAUACAUGCAAGUCGAGCGAACAGACGAGGAGCUUGCUCCUCUGACGUUAGCGGCGGACGGGUGAGUAACACGUGGAUAACCUACCUAUAAGACUGGGAUAACUUCGGGAAACCGGCGCUAAUACCGGAUAAUAUAUUGAACCGCAUGGUUCAAUAGUGAAAGACGGUUUUGCUGUCACUUAUAGAUGGAUCCGCGCCGCAUUAGAUAGUUGGUAAGGUAACGGCUUACCAAGGGAACGAGGCGUAGCCGACCUGAGAGGGGGAUCGGCCACACGGGAGCUGAGCCACGGUCCAGACGCCUACGGGAGGCAGCAGUAGGGAAUCUGCCGCAAUGGGCGAAAGCCUGACGGAGCAACGCCGCGUGAGUGAUGAAGGUCUUCGGAUCGUAAAACUCUGUUAUUAGGGAAGAACAAAUGUGUAAGUAACUAUGCACGUCUUGACGGUACCUAAUCAGAAAGCAACGGCUAACUACGUG